Molecule: ribosomal RNA, 497 nt
Filed under: uncultured bacterium
Lineage: Bacteria
Description: partial 16S ribosomal RNA
Rfam family: Bacterial small subunit ribosomal RNA
Source: RNAcentral
GACGAACGCUGGCGGCGUGCCUAAUACAUGCAAGUUGAGCGCUGAAGGUUGGUACUUGUACCAACUGGAUGAGCAGCGAACGGGUGAGUAACGCGUGGGGAAUCUGCCUUUGAGCGGGGGACAACAUUUGGAAACGAAUGCUAAUACCGCAUAAAAACUUUAAACACAAGUUUUAAGUUUGAAAGAUGCAAUUGCAUCACUCAAAGAUGAUCCCGCGUUGUAUUAGCUAGUUGGUGAGGUAAAGGCUCACCAAGGCGAUGAUACAUAGCCGACCUGAGAGGGUGAUCGGCCACAUUGGGACUGAGACAAGGCCCAAACUCCUACGGGAGGCAGCAGUAGGGAAUCUUCGGCAAUGGACGAAAGUCUGACCGAGCAACGCCGCGUGAGUGAAGAAGGUUUUCGGAUCGUAAAACUCUGUUGGUAGAGAAGAACGUUGGUGAGAGUGGAAAGCUCAUCAAGUGACGGUAACUACCCAGAAAGGGACAGCUAACUACGUG